AACUAAACCUCCGCUAGGGUUCUUUCGUUUCAACCCGAGCCCAACUUCUUCAAUGCUUCAGCUGAUCAACCAACGCAUGCGUUCCCUCUCUCUAGACAACGCAGUUGGGUUUCUUCCUCCUUCUUCAAACACGCUAUUAGGGUUUCAAACUUUCACCUAUGCUCCCAUUUUCUGUUGGAGCGUCGUUUCAACGUAGCUUCCCAACCCUUUUUCUCGUUAGGAUCCAUGUACACGGCCUCGCUGCCAUUAAGAUCUUUUCUUCUUUCCUUCCAUUCUCCGUUUGCCUCUAUUCUAUAAAGGGGUAAACCAUUGUUUGUAAACAUUUAGCUUAGAUGAAUGAUAAAUCUGGUUGAGAAUACUCCCAUUUUCGUCUCUGCUCAAACCCUUCACCUUAGAUUAGGAUUUAUCCUCCUAGGGUUUCCAAACCAGUGAGAUUCGAGCGUUACUCACCAAUUAUAAGCCUUUCGCUGCAUUUUCCAGUCAUUUCCACUGAUGAUGAUAUUAUGUCUAUCUCUCUGAUUCUGCCAUUCAAUGUAUAUAUCACAGUGAUAACCUUUCUACAAGGUGCAGCUGUGGUGAGGAAAAACAAAUUGAGUGGCCACCGAGAGGAAAAAGGAGUGAGUUGGGACCUUCAAGGAGGAGUGCACGCACUUGAGG
This is a long non-coding RNA of Vigna unguiculata (cowpea), 657 nucleotides long. RefSeq lists it as uncharacterized. Lineage: Eukaryota; Viridiplantae; Streptophyta; Magnoliopsida; Fabales; Fabaceae. The record is from RefSeq and is a predicted model, not a curated record.